Molecule: non-coding RNA, 30 nt
Filed under: Rattus norvegicus (Norway rat)
Lineage: Eukaryota; Metazoa; Chordata; Mammalia; Rodentia; Muridae
Source: RNAcentral
UAGGUGUAUUUGGGAAAGAAAGGCUUGACU